GGACUGUGACCAUCUGCCUGGUACCUGGAAUGAAGGCCAGGCACAGGGCAGGUACCCUGCAUAGUUGGAGGAGGUGUGAAUGAAUAGGGGAUGUCUCAGACUUAGGCUGGCUUUGGACUUCCUGAAUCUUGUUUUCUGUCACCUGCUACCUCCCAUCUUGGUUUUCCAUCGGAGAACCAGGCCUUUGUGGCCUUGCAUGGUUUGGGCCUUUUCUGUCUUUCCUCCUGAGGACCCAGGUUCAAGCACCGCCUCCUAGAGAUGAUGGCUCUGGGCCUAGCACUUUCCUGCUUAUGGUGUUGACCCCUGAAUGAGUGCUGCUGAGUGCAGAGUAAAGCUGGUGAGGCCUAGGGUCAGGCUGACCCUCUUUCUGCCUUGGAUGCAGCUCCCUGGAGACUGUGAUGGGGCUGGAGAAUAGCAGUGAGCUCUUCACCAUCUCAGUGAAUGGUGUCCUCUAUCUACAGACAGGACACUAUACUUCUGUCUUCUUGGACAAUGCCAGCGGCUCCUCCCUCACGGUACGUGGUGGCUCUCACUUCAGUGCUAUCCUCCUGGGCCUGUGAGAGGCUGCUGCAGGCUCGUACCCUUACCAAGCAGCGUGGUCGAUGUCUACACUGCCAAGUGACAGUGGUCCUGUGCGGAAGGAAGCCCACUGGACCUCUGCACACGCUGGCCAUCACGUUACCUCCCAGCUCAGCCCCUGCACUGCUGCAGCGGUGACUGGAAGCCGGCUCUCCAGCAACUUGUGGAUAUUGUUCAGCCCUGCUCGGCUCUUCUGGGACC
RNAcentral lists this long non-coding RNA (780 nucleotides) under Rattus norvegicus (Norway rat). RNAcentral's name for it is "long non-coding RNA NONRATT029670". Lineage: Eukaryota; Metazoa; Chordata; Mammalia; Rodentia; Muridae. The record is from RNAcentral.